GACGAACGCUGGCGGCGUGCCUAAUACAUGCAAGUAGAACGCUGAAGGAGGAGCUUGCUUCUCUGGAUGAGUUGCGAACGGGUGAGUAACGCGUAGGUAACCUGCCUGGUAGCGGGGGAUAACUAUUGGAAACGAUAGCUAAUACCGCAUAAGAGUAGAUGUUGCAUGACAUUUGCUUAAAAGGUGCAAUUGCAUCACUACCAGAUGGACCUGCGUUGUAUUAGCUAGUUUGUGGGGUAACGGCCUACCAAGGCGGCGUAGCAUAGCCGACCUGCGAGGGUACACUGCCACACUGCGACUGAGACACGGCCCAGACUCCAACACGAGGCAGCAGGAGGGAAUCAUCGUCAAUGGACAGAAGUCUGAGCGGGCAACGCGGCGUGAGUGAAGAAGAUUUUCGCGUCGUAGAGUUCUGUUGUAAGAGAAGAACGAGUGUGAGAGUGGAAAGUUCACACUGUAACGGUUUCUUACCAGAAAGGGACGGCUAACUACGUG
RNAcentral lists this ribosomal RNA (495 nucleotides) under uncultured bacterium. RNAcentral's name for it is "partial 16S ribosomal RNA". It matches the Rfam family "Bacterial small subunit ribosomal RNA", at positions 28 to 507 of the family's 1533-position model. The record is from RNAcentral.